This is a long non-coding RNA of Coffea arabica (coffee), 4954 nucleotides long. RefSeq lists it as uncharacterized. NCBI's taxonomy places the organism in Eukaryota, Viridiplantae, Streptophyta, Magnoliopsida, Gentianales, Rubiaceae. The record is from RefSeq and is a predicted model, not a curated record.
AUUCAUCUCUGCCGCUUCGUUGCUCUCCAGAGCUCCUCUCCUCUCCCCUUCCAUUUUUCGUUUCAUUUCUUUGUUCCUUUCUUCUUUUUUGUUGUUUUUUAUUUGGUCCUUUUUUCUCUGUUUUUCCUUCCCGUUUCCCCCCUCCCCCCUUUUCCCUUUCUUCUCUUUCCUUUUUUCAAUUAUAUGAUUCUAACUGAUUUUUUUCCCUUGUUAGAAUUGGUCUGGAUAUGAAGCUACUAAACGCAUGAGACACAGAAAUCAUCUUAAUUGAUUGCGGACAAUGGAUUGAAAGUCCACGAGAAGGAGAAAAAGAAUCAAUUUUCCAGGUUGUGCGAUUUUCUUUAAUUUAUUUUUCAAUCUUUUUCCAAUUUUACUCUAGCCUUCAAAUUUUUGUUUCCGUUUUUUUUGUAAGAAAAGUUUUUGAUUUCAGAUCUCUUGCUUAGUACUUUAGUUUUGUUGCUGUUAACGAUCUCAUUUCUGCUGUCUAUUGGACAGAUAGGGAUCUCAUUUUUCUUUUAAUAAAUUGAGGGAAAAAUGGAAGAAAAGUCGACGGGAAGAAGAAAAAAAGAUUUAAGUUUUCAAGGUUCGAAUUUUUCUGUAGUUUAUUUUCCAAGCAUUUUUCUAAUUUUACGCUAAACUUGAUCUUCAAGUUACCAGUUCCUUCUUUUUUCGUUUUUUUUUUGGCUUUUCCAUUGAAGAUUAUAUGUUUUAAUUUCUUGUUUAGUUAUUUAGUUUUGCUGCUGCUAAUAGUCUUAUUUUCCAUUUAUGUCAUAUUUUGAUUUCUGUUUAGUAGAUUGAGGAAAAACGCAAGAAAUAUCCACAAGAAGAGAUAGAUUUAACUUUUUAGGUUGUGAUCUUUUUUUUCCCCAAUUAUCUUUGCAGCUCACCUGAAAUUCAGCUUUCAAGUUAUAUUCCAUUCAUUGGUUUCACAAAGUAGCUAUAGGUAUUAUUUCUUAGUUUUGCCUUUUAUCUUUACUAUUGCCUUCUUAACACGGAUGGUUAUGCAUCCAACUUAUACAUGCAACUGGGAGAUCCUGUUUGAAUUGUGCUUGGAAUAGAUGUCUUUGUCAUUACUUUUCCAUUGCAGUAGUUGUGACUUUGUAUUUAGAGUAUGCAUAGAGUGGUGUAGUUGCAUUUACAAGUGUGGUUAACACUUAUUGCUAAAAUGUCUUAUGGGUGUCUGAGUUUUGCAGCGGAACCAAAAGUUUUUAUGCUGUAAUUUGCUUCAGUACAAUAUUGAGUUUUUGGUUGAGCUUAACAUGUCUGGUGUAUCAAAUUCCAAAAAGUCCUUGCUCUCAAAUUACAUUUGUGCAGUGCAAGAAAUUCUGAUACACAAUGAGGAAAAAGUGAUUGCCAAAAGUGUGUAUAUUUGGCCAUACUCUUAAUUGUGAUUAUUUUAUUUGGCCAUCUCACCUUUUGUUCAAUUUGUUGUAUGGGUUCCAGAUUUUUAUUUUUUCUCCAUUUAUUUAUCUCAAACAUUCUGUGCAGAAGGCAUUCAAUGGAAAAUCAUAUUGUUUCUUAAUGUUUAUGUGCCAUCAUCCUGUACAAGAAGGAAAGAUUUUUAUGUAUGCAGGGAUUAUACUUGGUUCAGAGCCCAUGAUUGCAAUGUUUUUUUUUCUUUUUUCUUUUUGGUUUUUUUUGAGUAUCCAAAACUGAUAUGGUGUUUUUAAUAGGUAUUUUGUGUUAAGCUGAUUGCUGGUAGUGAUAGGAGGGAAUCUGCUUAUAUUAUUCUCACUAGCUUUAAGGCUACUUAAGUUUGUUCUAUGUUUAGCCUUUUUCUACUUAAUUAGGUAUGUUUAGUCUUUUAAUGUACUAUUGUUUACUUAAUGUUUCUUUUACCAUGAGAUCCUUGUAAUUUUGUAGUCUCUGAAUUUUUUAGUAAGAAAUUUUCAUUUAUUGCAGAUUAUUUAAUAUUUGAUUUGAAAUUCAUUUGUUAGCUUGCUUAUAUGCAGUUUCAAUGUAUUGAUGUAUUUACCUUUUGGUUCAUAGUUUGCUCUCUUAUUGUAAUUAUUGGUCCUACAGAAAAGAAUGAUUCAUUUAUAGUGGCUCAUGUGCAAUUUCUUACUAUCAAUGCAAAAAAAAAAAAAAACACCACUUAAUAACUGUCAGUGCGACAUUCAUUGAAGAUAAUGCAUACAUGGUGGUAAAGAGACUGAUUUUGUAUUCUUUGGGGGUUUUUCCCCCUGAUGAAUAAGAGAAAAUUUUCCCUUCCCUAGAUUCUUAAAUGUAUAUGCUGAUAGGCUUUAGAUUAUCACCUAAUUGUGUUCUUUUGUUUAUUUGAUAGAUUGUUUUCCUCAACAAUUGAAGGUGACGAAGCUAGAAUAGAAACUCCCAAGGGGUUGAUACAUGUACAUUUGCUUGUGAAAGUUAAAAAUAACAUAUUGAAUAGUUGUGCCUUUUAAUUUUCUUUGCCUUUCUACUCUUGAAUGAUGAGUUGGACUGGGGCAAUUUCUUUUCUGGCCUGUUCUUCUUUUUUUUUUCUUCCUGGCUCUCUUAGCUCGUCAAAGAGCCUAUUACUUUGGUUAUUAUCAUAACAUGGUUAGGUUACACAAUUUAUUUCGCCAAUUUAAUGGGUAGAUUUUACAAACUUACUUUUUUUCUUUGCAUUUUAAUCUUGAUAACACCUCAUUAAUGUUUCAAAAACUAGAAGAUCAAUUUUUUAGCAAAUGCUUUUACAUUUUGAGCAUUAUCAUUUAAUUACAUGGCUUUGUUCUAGAAGUGUUUGUGAGCAAGUUGGGUAAAGCAGAGUUGACGAUUGAACUAUGUGGUUCAUUGCCUACAAUAGCAGUCUAUUCUGCUCAUAGUAAUUGUAAGACAAAACAGCCAAGUUUGAUCUAAUAAUUGUUUGUUUAUACUUUUAUGGGUUUUUUUUAAUAGUAUUGACAAUAUCUUACUUGAGAUUUUACUUCAUAUGUGAAUUUGCGAAAUGAGAUUUUUAAAGCCCUUUUUUCUAUGAUUAGUCAUUAUUGGUGAAGUCAUUUUUUCAGUGUAUGUAAUAUAUGGUUCUUUGUAUCUCAACGUUAUAGUAUUCAAAUGUGAAAACAGUUUGAAAAAAUGGAAGGAAUAUCCACUGAAAGGAGAAAAAAUUUUUAACUUUUCAGGUUGUGGAUUUUUUUUUGAUUUAUUUCCCUGUCAUUUUUCCAAUUUUACACUAGAAUAUUGGACCUUCAAGUUUCUGCUUCCUUUUCAUUUCUGAAGUUUUUAAUUUCUUGCUUGCUUCUUUAGUUUUGCUGCUCCUCAUAAUCUUAGAUUGCUGCCUAUUUGAUAGAUUGAGGAACGUUACAAGGAAAUACUAAAGGGAGGAGAAAAAGAUUUAGCUUUCCAGGUUAUCGUUUUUUCUUUUUAUUUUGUGGUCAUCUUUCUAGAUUACCUUAACUUUGAAUUUCAAAUUUCUGAUUUUUGUGCUAUGUAGUGGUUUUCACGAAGUGUCUGGUGGGUGUUGAAAUUGUUAAUUUUAUGAAUUUUUUUUUAGCUAUUGCCUUCUCAACAUGAAUUGUUAUGCAUCUGAAUCAUAUAUGAAGCUGGGAGGUUUAGUUUGAAGUACUCUUUUACACACUUUUGGCAAAAGAGUGUAAAUCUGCCAAAAUUAACUAAUAUGCCAAAAGAGUGGUCAUUUGUUAAUCAAGUGCAUCUGUUAAAUCAGAAGUUAAAUAAUAAAUAACAUUAACUAAUGUGGAACAAAAGGGUCGAGGUUAAGACUUUUCACUUUCACUUUUGCAGAGAAGUUUAAAGAUUUUCCGAAGAAACCUCUAAGCUGGUUCAGGAAUCAUUUUUUGCUCAGUUAAAAGUUGAAUCCUUUUGUUCUUUUCUUGUUUUUGCACUGAAUAUGGGGCCUGGUCUUCAUGCAAUUUCUAUCUCUUCAUCUUUUAGGACAAGUCAAUAUUUCUAUAGUAGUAUAUGUUUGAGAGUAAGAGUAGGGAGAUGAUUGUCUACACAACCGAAGGUACUUUGCCAUUGCAAUUUCUCAGGGAUAAAUUUUUCCCCAUCAGAUUUUUAUCUCUGACCUUUUCUUUCUUCUUUCUUCUUUUUCUGGUAUCCACUACAGGAAGAAGCAAUCUUUAUUUGUGGUCCAAGAAUAAACAAAUGGUGAAGAUAGCCUUUAAGUGAGAUAUCUUAAACUAGGUGACUUGGUUGAGCAGAUAUUGUGCACAUCCGUAUUUGGAACUCCAUAGCAUGUCAGCUUCCUUAUUUGGCUAUCUAAAUAGACUACUUUGUAGUGUGAAAGUGUCAUCUUCUUUUGAUGGGCUUUUGAAUAAUGAAUCAUUAGUUUCUUUUCAUUGAUUAAUUUUAUAGAUUGAUUACACUUUUGUUGUUAGACUAAGUUUUACUUGGUAAUAAAUUUGUAUAUUUCAUCUUUAACCUUUUGGGUUCAUUUCUUGAACUUCAAUAUUUAUAGGUAUAAACUUGUUGAAAAAAGGAUGAGAGGCAUUGGCAGUAUUCAACAUUUUGCUGACUUGCUAAAUUUGUUAAGAGAAUUUUCUUCACUUUCCUUCGAAUAUGCUUCUGCUGUUCUAUCAUCUAUGUGCAGGUUAUUAGUCAAGAUAUGGAGAUUAAAGGACCUCAUUUAAAACAUCAGACACUUCUUUAGGCUUUGUUGUUCUAGGCCCAAUCAGAUAUCUUUAUACUUACUGUUAUUUGAUUGUGUGGCUUGAGUUCAAAUUAAGUAAAUUAUUUGAGAGAAUGCUUAAUGAUUUGUUUCGCUUGUUUUGCUUAGCAAUGAGUCAAAGCCCGAAGAGUGGAAGAACUCUUACCGUUUCCCUUGCAUUAUCAUGAUUGAAGUGCCAUGCAUCCCUAGAAUCAAGAUUGGAAUUAUUUCUAUGUCUGUCCUGCAUGGAUCUACAGUGAUUAUUUAUUAGCCUCAUUUUUGGAUACAUAUUAUUGUAGACAUUAUGUACCUUUUACAUUUUAAAUAAGAGGUUUUGUUUGUAAAGAUAGUGACCAACUUUUGUUUCAA